AUGGCACAUCAUUUCAAGAAUAUAGUUGUUGAAGCAACUUAUAUGCAAAGCACGACUACUAUCACGACAUCCUUUUUUAGGACAAAGAUAAUUAAUAACACGACAUUCUAUGUCUCAUUGCUAUCUUAUUUAUUUGAUCAUUUUGGGAGCUUCAAUUCCUUGAAUAAUUCAGUGAAUGCCAUCUGCAAUGACCCGUUGUCUGCCAAUGCCAACACUCAUCUAGCCUUCUCCUUCGCCAAUAUUCUCCCCUUCUUCUCCAUGCCCUCAGCCUUCACAAGUUCCUCGUCAUACUUCUCCAUCACCUCCCCGACAUUCAUAUCAUCCACCACGAAUAUAAUUCAUAACAUUCAGGCGGUAAAGGUCAAUGUACACCAAGCCGGUCAAAUAAAUAGUACUUUAGCAUCUCUCAAGGGAAGUUUCAAAUUUCACCUAAAAAUUUCAGUUAAAGUCAUGUCAAUAAUUUAA
This 465-nucleotide ribosomal RNA is filed under the name Triticum aestivum (bread wheat). RNAcentral's name for it is "partial small subunit ribosomal RNA". Lineage: Eukaryota; Viridiplantae; Streptophyta; Magnoliopsida; Poales; Poaceae. The record is from RNAcentral.